RNAcentral lists this ribosomal RNA (468 nucleotides) under uncultured bacterium. Its description in RNAcentral is "partial 16S ribosomal RNA". It matches the Rfam family "Bacterial small subunit ribosomal RNA", at positions 28 to 507 of the family's 1533-position model. The record is from RNAcentral.
GACGAACGCUGGCGGCGUGCUUAACACAUGCAAGUCGAACGGAAAGGUCCUGCUUUUGUGGGGUGCUCGAGUGGCGAACGGGUGAGUAACACGUGAGUAACCUGCCCUUGUCUUUGGGAUAACUUCAGGAAACUGGGGCUAAUACCGGAUAGGAGCUCUUGCUGCAUGGUGGGGGUUGGAAAGUUUCGGCGGUUGGGGAUGGACUCGCGGCUUAUCAGCUUGUUGGUGGGGUAGUGGCUUACCAAGGCUUUGACGGGUAGCCGGCCUGAGAGGGUGACCGGCCACAUUGGGACUGAGAUACGGCCCAGACUCCUACGGGAGGCAGCAGUGGGGAAUAUUGCACAAUGGGCGGAAGCCUGAUGCAGCAACGCCGCGUGCGGGAUGACGGCCUUCGGGUUGUAAACCGCUUUCGCCUGUGACGAAGCGUGAGUGACGGUAAUGGGUAAAGAAGCACCGGCUAACUACGUG